This 253-nucleotide ribosomal RNA is filed under the name uncultured bacterium. Its description in RNAcentral is "partial 16S ribosomal RNA". It matches the Rfam family "Bacterial small subunit ribosomal RNA", at positions 524 to 776 of the family's 1533-position model. The record is from RNAcentral.
UACGAAGGGGGCUAGCGUUGCUCGGAAUCACUGGGCGUAAAGCGCACGUAGGCGGAUUGUUAAGUCAGGGGUGAAAUCCUGGAGCUCAACUCCAGAACUGCCUUUGAUACUGGCGAUCUUGAGUCCGGGAGAGGUGAGUGGAACUGCGAGUGUAGAGGUGAAAUUCGUAGAUAUCUGCAGGAACACCCGUGGCGAAAGCGGCGAGCUGGAUCACUACUGACGCUGAGGAACGAAAGCUAGGGGAGCAAACAGG